AACGUAGGAGGCAAGCGUUAUCCGGAUUUACUGGGCGUAAAGCGCGUGCAGGCGGCUGGGCAAGUUGGAUGUGAAAGCUCCCGGCUCAACUGGGAGAGGUCGUUCAAAACUGCCUAGCUGGAGGCGGGUAGAGGGAGGUGGAAUUCCGGGUGUAGUGGUGAAAUGCGUAGAUAUCCGGAGGAACACCAGUGGCGAAAGCGGCCUUCUGGACCCGACCUGACGCUCAGACGCGAAAGCUAGGGGAGCAAAC
RNAcentral lists this ribosomal RNA (250 nucleotides) under uncultured bacterium. RNAcentral describes it as "partial 16S ribosomal RNA". It matches the Rfam family "Bacterial small subunit ribosomal RNA", at positions 524 to 773 of the family's 1533-position model. The record is from RNAcentral.